CUCAGUGCAGGCCUUGCAGAAGAGGGCUUCAGGGCAGAAGGGGGCUUCAGGGUAGAAGGCGGCUUCAGGGCAGAAGGGGGCCUCGGGGCAGAACGGGGGCCUUAGGGCAGAACAGGGCUUCUUGAAGGAGGCUUUGAAUGGCUGAGAGGAGCUGUUAGAUUUGUUACAAGGGACUCCAGAAAGCUGUGAGGGUUCUACUGCUGGUGACCCAGAUGGCAAAGAAUCUGUCUGCAACUCGGAAGAUCUGGCUUCAAUCCCUAGGUCAGGAAGAUCCCCCGGAGAAGGGAAUGGCAACCCACUCCAGUAUUCUUGCCUGGAGAAGUCCAUGGACAGAGGAGCUUGGUAGGCUAUAGUCCACGGGGUCGCAGAGAGUUGGACAUGACAGAGCGACUAACAUGUUCACGAUCACAGUUGAUUUAAAAUAUUGUGUUCGUUUCAGGUGUACAGCAAAGCGAUUCUGUUAUACAUGUAUUGUAUAUAUCUAUAUUCUUUUUUAAAAAUUCUUUUCCAUUGUAGUUUAUUAUAAGAUACUGAAUAUAGUCCCCUGUGCUGUGUAACACAUCCCUGCUGUUGCUGUGAGGUUCUUGAUCAGCACUGUAUAAUAUAAUAAAAAAUCCCCUUCUUGCCUCUCACACAGUGGUUUGCCCACCUAGGAGAUCUACGAUAGGCAGUCAGACUGGUCCAGCCUGCAGACACUCAGUGACCCACACCCCUCCCCAUAACCACCUGGUUAUUCUAGCCUCUUCUCAGAGGCUUCACGGCUAGAGCUGGGUGUUGGAUCUGGCUUCUUCCUCCGAAGACAAUUUAUGGCGACACGUCGGAGACUCUGUUUUAAUGAAGUUGCAAAACCCGAGUUCUCUGCCCUGUUCAGGCCCAGGAAGAAGCACGGGCUUUGUGGCCUUUUAGACUACCUUAUCGGAGAAGGCAAUGGCACCCCACUCCAGUACUCUUGCCUGGAAAAUCCCACAGAUGGAGGAGCCUGGUGAGCUGCCGUCUAUGGGGUCACACAGAGUUGGACACGACUGAAGUAACUCAGCAGCAGCAGCAGCAGACUACCUUAUAGAAAUCCCAGAGGAGCCCUACUGUAAAGCCCAGAGAACCCACAUAAUCUCCAGGGAAACACCAAUAUCCUUAGCCUUACACCAGCAUCCAGAAUCUAUACACACAUCUCCAAACCCAUUGUAACACCAAGGACUCCCCAGCCCAGGCAUUGCUACUGUGCCACCCCAAGCGUGGCACACCAACGCAGGCCCCUGCAGGAGCACCUGAGCCUCAAGCUGGCCUUCUUGCUCCCCUGCACUUGUUUUCUUUCCUAACCCAGACUGGACAUUCUUCUUGAAGACUCCAAAGUCUUCACUGGAUCCUGCCCGCAUAGUUUCACUGUGGCAGAGGAAAGGGUGGGUAGGCAAGGCGUGGGUGUGGGUUGGGUGGCUCAUGGAGGAUGUCAGGACCCAGUCAGCUACCAACUCGUCCGAUGUCUGAAGAGCUCCAAUGUCUGAAGAGCUCAGGCAGGAGGCCUAGAGGUCAGACCUUGGGAGGCCUUGCCUGAAUCGGUCGGGCCUGGGUUUAUUCAUAGGUGGGUAAGCAGAAUGAGGAUGUGGCGGAGGUGGCUCCUCUUUUCCUUGGUCUCAGCUAAAGGACCCCGCUCCCUAGAGAUACAGGGGAAGUAGGGGGUCUGGGAGGACAGCAGACCAGAUGGCCUGGGAGGGCCAGGGAAACCCAGAAGCCAUGGGCGUUUACACCUGGGGUUCUGUGGACACAUCCACUGAUGUAAAAGGAGACAGGACUGCUGGGUCCCCUGGACACACAUCUGUCUGCAUGCCUGCUGUACAAGUGUUUUGGGCCUAGAUUGGGGGCAGGCAUGGGAGGGCAAGAUGAAGGGGGGAUUGGGAAAUGGCAUUUCAGAGGGAGGACACACAGGCCUGGUCUGUUAGUCUGGUGACAGGGGACACUCACAUCUAGGACCUGAUUUAGCAGGAGCUGGAG
Molecule: long non-coding RNA, 1986 nt
Filed under: Bos indicus x Bos taurus (hybrid cattle)
Lineage: Eukaryota; Metazoa; Chordata; Mammalia; Artiodactyla; Bovidae
Description: lncRNA (ENSBIXG00005013494.1)
Source: RNAcentral